GAGUUUGAUCAUGGCUCAGAUUGAACGCUGGCGGCAGGCCUAACACAUGCAAGUCGAGCGGUAGAGAGAAGCUUGCUUCUCUUGAGAGCGGCGGACGGGUGAGUAAUGCCUAGGAAUCUGCCUGGUAGUGGGGGAUAACGCUCGGAGACGGACGCUAAUACCGCAUACGUCCUACGGGAGAAAGCAGGGGACCUUCGGGCCUUGCGCUAUCAGAUGAGCCUAGGUCGGAUUAGCUAGUUGGUGAGGUAAUGGCUCACCAAGGCGACGAUCCGUAACUGGUCUGAGAGGAUGAUCAGUCACACUGGAACUGAGACACGGUCCAGACUCCUACGGGAGGCAGCAGUGGGGAAUAUUGGACAAUGGGCGAAAGCCUGAUCCAGCCAUGCCGCGUGUGUGAAGAAGGUCUUCGGAUUGUAAAGCACUUUAAGUUGGGAGGAAGGGCAGUAAAUUAAUACUUUGCUGUUUUGACGUUACCGACAGAAUAAGCACCGGCUAACUCUGUGCCA
This 506-nucleotide ribosomal RNA is filed under the name uncultured bacterium. RNAcentral describes it as "bacterial SSU rRNA". It matches the Rfam family "Bacterial small subunit ribosomal RNA", at positions 9 to 510 of the family's 1533-position model. The record is from RNAcentral.